UCUCAGAAGGAAGUUCAGCAAAGCUGCCUAGAAGAGGAGGUAGUAGGUACAAGUUGAAGUAUCAAUAGAUUAUAUGAAUGAAGAAAGGGUAAAUGAGCAUCCAGUCAGAAGAAAAAUAAUCUGCAGAUCCUGGGAACAAUUGAGGAGGAGUGUUUGUAGAACUGCACAUAAACCUGGUCGUCUAUAACCUGAGGUGGGUGGUGGCUGACAUCAUUAGGACAGUACUGUAGAGCUUGGAAAGAGGUUGUCAAAAAGGGGUUUUAUUCUAACUAAAGUGAUUGGAUUUCCUACUGUGGCCAUGGAAUGAAGGGAACUAUUGUGGGUUCCUAAGAAAGAUGAACAAUUUACAAGGUCAAUUUUUCAGUUUUGUUGAACAAUGACUUCCAAACAAGAAGAGUCUGUGCUCCUUGUUUCCUCAGGCAAUGGAGGUCUUCCAGAACUUCAAGCAGUCACAGGCUGCAACAAAGGAAUCCAUUCUGCAGGCUGACAAGGCCCUCACUGCUGGGGAGAAGGCUCUAGCAGCUGAGCAGGCCAAGACAGAGGCAGUGGCAAGGAAACAGGAGCGUCUAAGGCAGACACUGAGGGAAACACAGCAAAAAAUGGAGGCUCAAGAAAGAAGCUUUAAGAAAAGCAUAGCCCUACUGAAGGAGAAGAUGAAGAUAGAAAAAGAAAAUGAAGAGAAAAAAAAAAAACCAGGAUAAAAUGGCGGAGUAUAUGCAGAGUAGUUUGCUUGCCAGUGUUCUCGAGAGUCAGCAGUUCCCAUAUGGGUAACAUGUGUGUAGCCAUCCUACUUCAGUGGAACUGAGAAAUAGAACUAAACCUCCAUCCCUCCCAAAGAACAUCUCUAGGACUGAAACACAUUCCUGGCACAGUUGUCAGACCUGACCCAGACCCAAGCCCUCUCCACCCUCAGUGGGAUCCUGCUAAGGACACAUCGGAAGAAACAAACUCCUACGACCAUGUCUAAAGGUUGAAGAGUUAUUGAAGAAACACCAGAAGAAAGAGAUGCAAAAUAAGAUUGAAGUGCAAAGUAUAAAGGCUGAAUCUGAAGCAACUACAAGAAAAAUAUUGGAGGAAGUACAAAAAAAGAAUGAACAGAGGUGGAAAGAGACAGAAAAGAAUUAUCAGGAACAUGUGAAAAGACUUGAAGAGAUGGAGAAGGGAAGAGCAGAGGAAGCAUGGAAUGCAAAACAUAAACUUCAGGAAUGUAAGCGGGAAAAUGAGCAGGAACGUGAGCAGCUUCUCGAGAAGAACAAGGAACUUAAGUCAAACAGUUGCCUCUUAACUGAAAUUGAAAACAUGAUGUUUGCAUUAUUUUUUGUUUUGUUAGUCCUCACCCUACAAUAUUUUUUCCAUUGAUUUUUAGAGAAAGCAGAACUAAGGGGGACAGGUGGAGAGAGAAACAUCAAUGUGUCUGUGAGCCAGUGCUCUAUCCACUGAGCCAAACUAAAUAGGGCUGAUGCUUGCAAUUUUGUUGAACCAUAAAGUUUUCAAAGAAGAAAUAAACUGUUAAGACAAUGUUUGUUUUUCUAUAAAGUGAUUCAGUUCGUGUUUAAUUAUAGGAAGAGUGAUUAGCAUGAUUCUAUCGGGAUUCAAUAUUUGAAAUCAGGCAUAUUUAAUGUGUCUAGAGACACAUUAAGUUGUAUAAUGGGAUCAUUUUACAAUGAGGAGAUAUCAGGCGGCUUAUGUUCAGGAUAGACUUGUUCUCCCUCACAUACCUCACCCCACUAGACAUCCUCAGUCCUAUACUAUUGCUCAAGGGUUUUCUUUGGUUUGGGGAUAGGGUUGGGGUAUUGUGAA
Molecule: RNA transcript, 1800 nt
Organism: Myotis myotis
Lineage: Eukaryota; Metazoa; Chordata; Mammalia; Chiroptera; Vespertilionidae
Gene name: guanylate-binding protein 2-like
Exons: 6
Source: RefSeq, a predicted model, not a curated record